UCAGGCCUAACACAUGCAAGUCGAACGAUAUAGUGGCAGACGGGUGAGUAACGCGUGGAAACGUGCCUUUCACUACGGAAUAGCUUUUGGAAACGAAAGGUAAUACCGUAUACGCCCUCCGGGGGAAAGAUUUAUCGGUGAAAGAUCGGUCCGCGUUAGAUUAGCUAGUUGGUGAGGUAAAGGCUCACCAAGGCGACGAUCUGUAGCUGGUCUGAGAGGAUGAUCAGCCACACUGGGACUGAGACACGGCCCAGACUCCUACGGGAGGCAGCAGUGGGGAAUAUUGCACAAUGGGCGCAAGCCUGAUGCAGCCAUGCCGCGUGAAUGAUGAAGGCCUUAGGGUUGUAAAAUUCUUUCGCCAGGGAUGAUAAUGACAGUACCUGGUAAAGAAGCCCCGGCUAACUUCGUGCCAGCAGCCGCGGUAAUACGAAGGGGGCUAGCGUUGUUCGGAAUUACUGGGCGUAAAGCGCACGUAGGCGGACUUUUAAGUCAGAUGUGAAAUCCCGAGGCUCAACCUCGGAACUGCAUUUGAAACUGGGAGUCUAGAGAUCAGGAGAGGUUAGCGGAAUACCGAGUGUAGAGGUGAAAUUCGUAGAUAUUCGGUGGAACACCAGUGGCGAAGGCGGCUAACUGGACUGAUACUGACGCUGAGGUGCGAAAGUGUGGGGAGCAAACAGGAUUAGAUACCCUGGUAGUCCAC
RNAcentral lists this ribosomal RNA (700 nucleotides) under uncultured bacterium. RNAcentral describes it as "bacterial SSU rRNA". It matches the Rfam family "Bacterial small subunit ribosomal RNA", at positions 42 to 798 of the family's 1533-position model. The record is from RNAcentral.